AGAGUUUGAUCAUGGCUCAGAUUGAACGCUGGCGGCAGGCCUAACACAUGCAAGUCGAACGGUAACAGGAAACAGCUUGCUGUUUCGCUGACGAGUGGCGGACGGGUGAGUAAUGUCUGGGAAACUGCCUGAUGGAGGGGGAUAACUACUGGAAACGGUAGCUAAUACCGCAUAACGUCGCAAGACCAAAGAGGGGGACCUUCGGGCCUCUUGCCAUCAGAUGUGCCCAGAUGGGAUUAGCUAGUAGGUGGGGUAACGGCUCACCUAGGCGACGAUCCCUAGCUGGUCUGAGAGGAUGACCAGCCACACUGGAACUGAGACACGGUCCAGACUCCUACGGGAGGCAGCAGUGGGGAAUAUUGCACAAUGGGCGCAAGCCUGAUGCAGCCAUGCCGCGUGUAUGAAGAAGGCCUUCGGGUUGUAAAGUACUUUCAGCGGGGAGGAAGGGAGUAAAGUUAGUACCUUUGCUCAUUGACGUUACCCGCAGAGGAAGCACCGGCUAACUCCGUGCCAGCAGCCGCGGUAAUACGGAGGGUGCAAGCGUUAAUCGGAAUUACUGGGCGUAAAGCGCACGCAGGCGGUUUGUUAAGUCAGAUGUGAAAUCCCCGGGCUCAACCUGGGAACUGCAUCUGAUACUGGCAAGCUUGAGUCUCGUAGAGGGGGGUAGAAUUCCAGGUGUAGCGGUGAAAUGCGUAGAGAUCUGGAGGAAUACCGGUGGCGAAGGCGGCCCCCUGGACGAAGACUGACGCUCAGGUGCGAAAGCGUGGGGAGCAAACAGGAUUAGAUACCCUGGUAGUCCACGCCGUAAACGAUGUCGACUUGGAGGUUGUGCCCUUGAGGCGUGGCUUCCGGAGCUAACGCGUUAAGUCGACCGCCUGGGGAGUACGGCCGCAAGGUUAAAACUCAAAUGAAUUGACGGGGGCCCGCACAAGCGGUGGAGCAUGUGGUUUAAUUCGAUGCAACGCGAAGAACCUUACCUGGUCUUGACAUCCACGGAAGUUUUCAGAGAUGAGAAUGUGCCUUCGGGAACCGUGAGACAGGUGCUGCAUGGCUGUCGUCAGCUCGUGUUGUGAAAUGUUGGGUUAAGUCCCGCAACGAGCGCAACCCUUAUCCUUUGUUGCCAGCGGUCCGGCCGGGAACUCAAAGGAGACUGCCAGUGAUAAACUGGAGGAAGGUGGGGAUGACGUCAAGUCAUCAUGGCCCUUACGACCAGGGCUACACACGUGCUACAAUGGCGCAUACAAAGAGAAGCGACCUCGCGAGAGCAAGCGGACCUCAUAAAGUGCGUCGUAGUCCGGAUUGGAGUCUGCAACUCGACUCCAUGAAGUCGGAAUCGCUAGUAAUCGUGGAUCAGAAUGCCACGGUGAAUACGUUCCCGGGCCUUGUACACACCGCCCGUCACACCAUGGGAGUGGGUUGCAAAAGAAGUAGGUAGCUUAACCUUCGGGAGGGCGCUUACCACUUUGUGAUUCAUGACUGGGGUGAAGUCGGAACAAGGUAACCGUAGGGGAACCUGCGGUUG
This 1522-nucleotide ribosomal RNA is filed under the name metagenome. Its description in RNAcentral is "bacterial SSU rRNA". It matches the Rfam family "Bacterial small subunit ribosomal RNA". The record is from RNAcentral.